Molecule: ribosomal RNA, 253 nt
Filed under: uncultured prokaryote
Description: partial 16S ribosomal RNA
Rfam family: Bacterial small subunit ribosomal RNA
Source: RNAcentral
ACAGAGGUGGCAAGCGUUGUUCGGAAUUACUGGGCGUAAAGGGCGCGUAGGCGGCCCUCUAAGUCCCGUGUGAAAGCCCCCGGCUCAACCGGGGAACUGCACGGGAAACUGGAAGGCUUGAGUUCGGGAGAGGGAAGCGGAAUUCCGGGUGUAGCGGUGAAAUGCGUAGAUAUCUGGAGGAACACCGGUGGCGAAGGCGACAUCCUGGACCGGUAUUGACGCUGAGGCGCGAAAGCCAGGGGAGCAAACGGGA